This 118-nucleotide ribosomal RNA is filed under the name Thermoplasmatota archaeon. Lineage: Archaea; Methanobacteriati; Thermoplasmatota. The record is from RNAcentral.
CUGACGGCCAUAGCGGUGGGGAAACACCCGGUCCCAUUCCGAACCCGGAAGUUAAGUCCACCAGCGUGCUCUGUGGUACUGUGGUGCGCGAGCCCACGGGACGCUUAGGUCCCAUAGC